AAAACGGGAAGGCAGCAGGCGCGCAAAUUACCCAAUCCCGAUACGGGGAGGUAGUGACAAUAAAUACUGAUACAGGGCUCUUUUGGGUCUUGUAAUUGGAAUGAGUACAAUUUAAAUCCCUUAACGAGGAACAAUUGGAGGGCAAGUCUGGUGCCAGCAGCCGCGGUAAUUCCAGCUCCAAUAGCGUAUAUUAAAGUUGUUGCAGUUAAAAAGCUCGUAGUUGAAUUUUGGGUUUGGCUGCUCGGUCCGCCUAACCGCGUGCACUGAUGCGGCCGGAUCUUUCUUUCUGGCUAACCUCAUGCCCUUCACUGGGUGUGCUGGGGAUCCAGGACAUUUACUUUGAAAAAAUUAGAGUGUUCAAAGCAGGCCUUUGCUCGAAUACAUUAGCAUGGAAUAAUAAAAUAAGACGGGGGUGUCUAUUUUGUUGGUUUCUAGAGCCACCGUAAUGAUUAAUAGGGAUAGUCGGGGGCAUCAGUAUUCAAUUGUCAGAGGUGAAAUUCUUGGAUUUAUUGAAGACUAACUACUGCGAAAGAUUUUGCCAAAAAAA
Molecule: ribosomal RNA, 547 nt
Filed under: Arthrobotrys flagrans
Lineage: Eukaryota; Fungi; Ascomycota; Orbiliomycetes; Orbiliales; Orbiliaceae
Description: SSU rRNA
Rfam family: Eukaryotic small subunit ribosomal RNA
Source: RNAcentral